Molecule: transfer RNA, 72 nt
Filed under: Haliotis diversicolor
Lineage: Eukaryota; Metazoa; Mollusca; Gastropoda; Lepetellida; Haliotidae
Also listed under: 1 other name
Description: tRNA-Trp
Source: RNAcentral
AGAGCCUUAGGUUAAGAUAAAUCGAGAGCCUUCAAAGUUCUAGUUGUAAGUAUAGAUUGCUUUCAGGUUCUG